Molecule: long non-coding RNA, 2498 nt
Organism: Phragmites australis (common reed)
Lineage: Eukaryota; Viridiplantae; Streptophyta; Magnoliopsida; Poales; Poaceae
Exons: 4
Source: RefSeq, a predicted model, not a curated record
GCCAGCUUCCUGCAGUGACGCAGGAUAAUGAUGCCAAAGGAGUAUACAUCAGAUCGUGGAGUGAGUUCCCCUGUCGUCAGGAAUUCAGGAUCCAUAUAAGAGAAGGUUCCUCUUGGGUUUGUUGUUCGGUAAAGGGUUGUGCUGCAGCUGUUUGUCUGUAUCAAAAGUCUACAAAUUCCAAAGUCUCCUAAUUUGCUGGAAUAAUUGGCAUCAAGAAGAAUGUUGUCAGGCUUUAGAUCACCGUGAACCACAGGGUGAGGCUUGUUUGAAUGAAGGAAAAUCAGAGCCGAACACAUCUCCCCAAUAAUUCGGGUGCGGGUCUGCCAUGUGAGUGGUUGCGUAUUGUUCUUGCAUGCUAGGCGAUCUUCGAGGCUUCCAUUUUGAAAGAACUCAUAUACUAGGCCAAAAGCUUCUGGGCAUGUACCAAUCAGUGUGACAAGGUUUGGGUGCCUUACUGUGCUGAGAACAGAAGCCUGCAACAAUACAGCCCAAAAUUAUAAUACAGUGCAAGUCAAACUUCCAUGUAACGGUAACCGUAGUCUACAAAAAAAAAAGAAUGACUACUUGCCUCUUGAUGAAAUUCUGACUGCCCCUGCAUGCUUUGAGGAUGCAGCAGCUUUAUAGCUACUGUUGUGUUGCGGAGAAAACCUUUAUAGACACUCCCGAAACCACCUUCACCAAUCUUAAGUGUUGGAUCGAAGCCUUGUGUUGCUUGCUGCAGCUCAAUAAGAGAGAACUUGGUGUUUUGUGCUUCAGAUGGUGCCAAAACUCCCUGCUGAUUCUUUUCCCUCAAUUCUGCGGCUUCCCUUAUUGCAGCAUCUCUCUCAUGUAGUAUUCUGUCAUAGUCUGCUUGGAGCACUUCGAGUAGGUGUUUGUUUGUUGCUAACUUGUCUUCAUUAUCUUUAACAUAUGACUCGCUCUCACUUAUUCGUUGUUCUAGCGUGAGCUUCUGCUCAUUUGCAUUGUAUAGCGCAGCAUAUGUUUCGUCGUGCUGUCUUCUCAUUCCUUCAAUCUCCUGCAUCUGUCUUGCAUGCGUCUCCUCAAGUGCCUUCUGCUGCCUUAACUCAUGCAUAUAAGAGUUCUCCAGUUCUUUAAUCUGCUAGAGUACCUAGGAUUUUGUUAAUCAACAGACAUGCAAUCUGAAUUCUGGACUGAUACAUAAAAUGACCAAAGCAUACCUUUUGACGAGCUGAAUGCAGUUCUCUUUCAGCAUUUCGCCGUUUGCUAAAUUCUUCAUGCACUUCUUUUUUCAGAAACUCUAUUUCAAUGAGGGUGUCCUUCAGUUUAUCCUGGGCCAUUCAAGUUGACACUUCAGAUGCUAUACGCCAUCUAGGAGUGCCCCCCUCCUCUAUUUCUAUUUCAACAAUAGCACAUAAUACGUACCAGGUCAUGAGAUGCUGAUGAAAUGUGGUCAUACGAGUCGUGAGUUGAAAGAUGCGUGUCUGAUCCAACUUCACUUAUAUCAUCAUUAUCAACGAUUGCUGUUCCAGAGAUACUGGCUUCAUCGUCUGGUGAAUAACUGCAACCAGAGUUAUGCAACCUGCUAGAGUCAACUGAAAAGUCCUCCGAGCUCCUUGGUCUCCUUGUCUUGCCGACGAGAUCAGUUUCUACAAGUUCAAACGGUUGAAGCAGUGUACCACCAGUUCUUUGGGAUGGGGAGCACAAUACAUCUGUUCUUGAUCUUCCCAUAUCGCUCAUAGUACUUACAUUUGAGCUUGAUGCUUCAUUCUCCAAUUUGUGGAUCAUCAUUGAUCUCAUUUGGCUAGAAAUGCUGAAUGCUUGUAGCAGUGCUGUGUUGGUGGCUGCUGGUGAUGGUGACACUGCAGAAACUUCCGCAUUGGCCUCCCUGUUGACAGCUAACUACUCAAGACAUGAUGCUGUUAUGCAUGGAAGACAGGGCCUCACAGCACAAAAUUCAGCUAGGCCAGCAAAUGGAAUGGUAUACUUUUGAGGAACCGACAAAAUGCCAGAAGUUGCUACCCAACUGAGCACACAUACCAGAUAAAGCACUGGUACAAUUCCAGGGCUGUGGACAUGAGCUACGACAAUCAUGGACCUGGAAGCAUCCUUGGCCAAGUUCUGCAGAGUCCAUAUCAAGGUGCUUUUGCCGUGCUUGAGUUCUUGGGGGACGGCAACGAAAAUCUUGUCCACGACAAGCGGGCUCUCCGCUGCCUCGCCUGUGUUGCUCGCAAAUCUGCUCGCGGCUGUUCUGAAGCUGUGCUGUUCGCUGUCCGGUGUCUGCCCCCUUGCGGCAUCCUCCAUUUCUAACUCGCUGCUUCUUCGAGCAGGAAAGUUGCAGUGCACUGAAAAGCUAUAACCGGUUGUGUGGUGUAUGGAGCAUCAGGUAGUACAGCUCUUCAGAAUCAGCUAUGCUGCCUAUGCAGGCUCUAGGCAUAACCCCGGCAAUUCUCUUUGAGGACAUGAACGUUACAAACAAUGGCGACUUUGUAGCAUUAUUAAAAAAAAAAUUGCUGCCAAAAGGGACUUUGGUAUCCACA